UGGCGGCAGGCCUAAUACAUGCAAGUCGAACGCCCCGCAAGGGGAGUGGCGCACGGGUGAGUAACGCGUGGGAAUGUGCCCUAGGUGCGGAACAACGAAUUUGGAAACGAACGCUAAUACCGCAUAAUAUCUCCGGAUCAAAGAUUUAUCGCUAGGGAUCAGCCCGCGUUGGUUAGCUAGUUGGUGGGGUACGGCCACCAAGGCGACGAUCCAUAGCUGGUCUGAGAGGAUGAUCAGCCACACUGGGACUGAGACACGGCCCAGACUCCUACGGGAGGCAGCAGUAAGGAAUAUUGGACAAUGUAGGGGAAACCCUGAUCCAGCCAUGCCGCGUGAGUGAUGAAGGCCUUCGGGUUGUAAAGCUCUUUUAGGUGUGAAAAUGAUGAGGUAGCACCAGAAAAAGCUCCGGCUAACUUCGUGCCAGAGCCGCGGUAAUACGAAGGGAGCAGCGUUGUUCGGAAUCACUGGGCGUAAAGCGCUUGCGUAGGCGGUUUUGUAAGACAGAACCGUGAAAUCCUGGAGCUUAACUC
Molecule: ribosomal RNA, 530 nt
Filed under: uncultured Micavibrio sp.
Lineage: Bacteria; Pseudomonadati; Bdellovibrionota; Bdellovibrionia; Bdellovibrionales; Pseudobdellovibrionaceae
Description: bacterial SSU rRNA
Rfam family: Bacterial small subunit ribosomal RNA
Source: RNAcentral